RNAcentral lists this non-coding RNA (739 nucleotides) under Derodontidae sp. BMNH 899913. Lineage: Eukaryota; Metazoa; Arthropoda; Insecta; Coleoptera; Derodontidae. The record is from RNAcentral.
UUAAAGUUUAAAAGUAGUUUAAAAAUUAAUUAUUAGAUUGUUUUACAUGUAAAUUUUAUUAGAAAUUUUAUGUUCAGUAUUUAAUUUUAAAAACCAAUUAAAAUUGUGAUUAGAAAUUUUAUUAAGUUAAAACAAAUUUUGUGCCAGCAGUAGCGGUUAUACAAAAUUUUCAAAUUAAUUUUAUUUAGUUUAAUUAAAUUUAAAAUUUUAAAUUUAAAAAUUAAUUAAUAAGGUGAAAUUUGUUAUUUAUUUAAGUUAAUUUUAUAUUUUUGAAGUUAAGGAAUUUUGAUUUUAAACUAGGAUUAGAUACCCUAUUAUUCAUUAUUAAUAAAUAACUAAAAUUAUUAUUAGGUAUAUUCUAUAAAAUUAUAAUUUUUGGCGGUAUUUUAUUCUUUUCAGAGGAACCUGUUUCGUAAUCGAUAGUCCACGAUAAAUUAUACUUUAUUUAUAAAUUUACAUAUCGUUGUUUAAAAAAUUUUUUUAGAAAUUUAAUUUUUAAUUAAUUAUUUAAGUUUUAUUUCAAAUCAAGAUAUAGUUAUAAUAAAGUGUUAAUGGGUUACAUUUUAAUUUUAUUUGGAUUUAAAUUUUAAAAAUUUAUUGAAAUUGGAUUUGAAUGUAAAAUUAUAUUUUUAUUAAUUUGACUAAGCUCUAAAAUAUGUACAUAUCGCCCGUCGCUUUCAUUAUAAAAUGAAAUAAGUCGUAACAAAGUAGAUUUAUUGGAAACUGAAUCUAGAAUCAA